UAAAAUUUUCAUAUAUUAAAAUUCAUUUAAUAUAUAAAAUUAUAUACAAAAUGUAUUCAAAACCCACACUCUUUAUAACCAUAAAAAAAUUUAUAUUAUUAUUUAUAAUAUAAAAAAAAAC
This 121-nucleotide unclassified non-coding RNA is filed under the name Entrophospora etunicata. RNAcentral describes it as "Claroideoglomus etunicatum ITS1". The record is from RNAcentral. Lineage: Eukaryota; Fungi; Glomeromycota; Glomeromycetes; Entrophosporales; Entrophosporaceae.